GAUGAACGCUGGCGGCGUGCUUAAUACAUGCAAGUCGAGCGGACGGACGCGAAGCUUGUUGCUCUGUUGUUAGCGGCGGAGGGGUGUGUAACACGUGGAUCACCCACCUAUCAGACUGGGAUCACUUCGGGACACCGGAGCUUAUACCGGAUAAUAUUUUGCACCGCGUGGGUGAAAAGUGAAAGUCGGCCGUGGUGUAAGUUAUAGAUGGAUACGAGCUGCAUUGGCUAGUUGGUAAGGUAACGGCUUACAAAGGCAACUAUGCGUAACCGACCUCAUGGGGUGGUCGCCCACCCUGGAACUUGGACACGGUCCAUGCUCCUAAGGGAGGCACCAGUAGGGAAUCGUCCGCAAUGGUGGAAAGCCUGACGGAACAAGCCCACGUGAGUUAUGGAGAUCUUCGGAUCGUAAAACUCUGUUAUUAGGGAAAAACAUAUGUGUAAUUAACUGAGCACAUCGUGACGGUACCUAGUCAGAAAGCCACGGCUAACUACGUG
RNAcentral lists this ribosomal RNA (497 nucleotides) under uncultured bacterium. RNAcentral's name for it is "partial 16S ribosomal RNA". It matches the Rfam family "Bacterial small subunit ribosomal RNA", at positions 28 to 507 of the family's 1533-position model. The record is from RNAcentral.